CAGCAGCCGCGGUAAUACAGAGGGUGCGAGCGUUAAUCGGAUUUACUGGGCGUAAAGCGUGCGUAGGCGGCUUCUUAAGUCGGAUGUGAAAUCCCUGAGCUUAACUUAGGAAUUGCAUUCGAUACUGGGAAGCUAGAGUAUGGGAGAGGAUGGUAGAAUUCCAGGUGUAGCGGUGAAAUGCGUAGAGAUCUGGAGGAAUACCGAUGGCGAAGGCAGCCAUCUGGCCUAAUACUGACGCUGAGGUAAGAAAGCAUGGGGAGCAAACAGGAUUAGAUACCCCCGUAGUCCCUGUCUCUUAUAC
Molecule: ribosomal RNA, 301 nt
Filed under: uncultured bacterium
Lineage: Bacteria
Description: partial 16S ribosomal RNA
Rfam family: Bacterial small subunit ribosomal RNA
Source: RNAcentral